GACGAACGCUGUCGGCGUGCUUAACACAUGCAAGUCGAACGGAAAGGCCCUGCUUUUGUGGGGUGCUCGAGUGGCGAACGGGUGAGUAACACGUGAGUAACCUGCCCUUGACUUUGGGAUAACUUCAGGAAACUGGGGCUAAUACCGGAUAGGAGCUCCUGCUGCAUGGUGGGGGUUGGAAAGUUUCGGCGGUUGGGGAUGGACUCGCGGCUUAUCAGCUUGUUGGUGGGGUAGUGGCUUACCAAGGCUUUGACGGGUAGCCGGCCUGAGAGGGUGACCGGCCACAUUGGGACUGAGAUACGGCCCAGACUCCUACGGGAGGCAGCAGUGGGGAAUAUUGCACAAUGGGCGGAAGCCUGAUGCAGCAACGCCGCGUGCGGGAUGACGGCCUUCGGGUUGUAAACCGCUUUCGCCUGUGACGAAGCGUGAGUGACGGUAAUGGGUAAAGAAGCACCGGCUAACUACGUGCCAGCAGCCGCGGUGAUACGUAGGGUGCGAGCGUUGUCCGGGUUUAUUGGGCGUAAAGGGCUCGUAGGUGGUUGAUCGCGUCGGAAGUGUAAUCUUGGGGCUUAACCCUGAGCGUGCUUUCGAUACGGGUUGACUUGAGGAAGGUAGGGGAGAAUGGAGUUCCUGGUGGAGCGGUGGAAUGCGCAGAUAUCAGGAGGAACACCAGUGGCGAAGGCGGUUCUCUGGGCCUUUCCUGACGCUGAGGAGCGAAAGCGUGGGGAGCGAACAGGCUUAGAUACCCUGGUAGUCCACGCUGUAAACGGUGGGUACUAGGUGUGGGGUCCAUUCCACGGGUUCCGUGCCGUAGCUAACGCUUUAAGUACCCCGCCUGGGGAGUACGGCCGCAAGGCUAAAACUCAAAGGAAUUGACGGGGCCCCGCACAAGCGGCGGAGCAUGCGGACUAAUUCGAUGCAACGCGUAGAACCUUACCUGGGUUUGACAUGGAUCGGGAGUGCUCAGAGAUGGGUGUGCCUCUUUUGGGGUCGGUUCACAGGUGGUGCAUGCCUGUCGUCAGCUCGUGUCGUGAGAUGUUGGGUUAAGUCCCGCAACGAGCGCAACCCUUGUUCACUGUUGCCAGCACGUUAUGGUGGGGACUCAGUGGAGACCGCCGGGGUCAACUCGGAGGAAGGUGGGGAUUACGUCAAGCCAUCAUGCCCCUUAUGUCCAGGGCUUCACGCAUGCUACAAUGGCUGGUACAGAGAGUGGCGAGCCUGUGAGGGUGAGCGAAUCUCGGAAAGCCGGUCUCAGUUCGGAUUGGGGUCUGCAACUCGACCUCAUGAAGUCGGAGUCGCUAGUAAUCGCAGAUCAGCAACGCUGCGGUGAAUACGUUCCCGGGGCU
RNAcentral lists this ribosomal RNA (1346 nucleotides) under uncultured bacterium. Its description in RNAcentral is "partial 16S ribosomal RNA". It matches the Rfam family "Bacterial small subunit ribosomal RNA", at positions 28 to 1381 of the family's 1533-position model. The record is from RNAcentral.